Microtus oregoni (creeping vole) is the source of this 328-nucleotide long non-coding RNA. RefSeq lists it as uncharacterized. The transcript is spliced from 3 exons. The record is from RefSeq and is a predicted model, not a curated record. NCBI's taxonomy places the organism in Eukaryota, Metazoa, Chordata, Mammalia, Rodentia, Cricetidae.
CGCAACUCUCGGAACAGGAGAAAAAAAAGGAAUAAUGAAGGUGUAUAUAUCUACAUAUGGGUAUGUGACAUGAGUUCAGAGGUCAGAGGCUUUGGAUCCCCUGGAGCUGGAAUUGCAGACUGUUCUGAGACACCUGGCAUGCGUGAUGGGAACCUAACUCGGGUCUUCCGGAAGAGCAGCGAGUGGACCUCCUUGCUGAGCCCUCUCUCCAGCCACAAUGGUGAAAGGUUUUUACAGCAGCCUGCAGCUAUAUUUCCCAGGCCGACCGGAAGCAUCAGUAUCACCCGAUCACUUCAGCGAAUACAUUGUACUAGACCAGUGCAUCCCU